UGGCAGGAUUGCUACACACCCAAAAGAGUUAGCGUGUGACUCUAAUCACCCUAUUAGAGGAACAUUUGGAAGGAACACAAACAAAAUAGUACCGGUACUAAGAAAAACAAGACUCUUUAUUUUAAAGGCGCCAUUUUAUUUUCUUUGUUAUUUUUCAUACCAUUGUUUAUAUAAAUGUUGUAAACUUUUGUUAUACAAUACUCCCUAAAAGAGUUUACUUUUGCAAUUUACUUCAUGGUUGGUGUUGUUCAUUGUUCGGCUGUUCAGGUCUAUGGUACAUGAGCUCUUUCCGAACCUAGCCAUUCAGUGUAUCUACUAUAAGUGGGUUACACUUUCAUGGAGUGUUUUAAAAUUCAGCAAAAGCAGGAUGUGGAAAAACCAAGCUCCAAGUUAAAACACAGUGUCAUUCAGUAUGUUGCAAUGUCUCCCUUUGUAGUUCACAGUUAUUCAGAAUCACAGUUACAUAUUCUCCAUUAACAACAGAAGAAGAAUGAUUGUCUGUUAUAUAUGGAUGCAACUGGCAGUGUAGUUGCAAAACCUCACCCCUCCAGCCAAUCAGUACUAUAUUAUGCACUUUGCACACCAUGCCAGUCCACAACCCAAACUGUGGUUCCAGUAGCAGAAAUGCUGACAUCAGACCAAACCACUGCAACAAUUCUACACUGGUUGACUUGCCUGCAUCGGGAUUAUUACAAGCUGUUCCUGAAAGACUUGAGGCCACAAAAAAUCGGAACAGAUUUCAGUUGGGCCAUGAUCCAUGCAGUUGUUCAGGCAUUCAACAAUGUCAGCAUUCAGCAGUAGUUACGACUUUGUUUUCAGGUAUGCCAAGAGCAGCAGACAGUGCAAAUGACUGUGAUACACCUCUGUGCUGCUCACAUGCUUAAGCUGAUAAGCAUGAAACUGAGCAAGGUGCAGUGCAAAAAAGAAAAAAAAAAUCUUUUCCUGUACAGCUUUGCCCUUCUCCAAAAUGCCACAGAUUUAUGUGUGAUCUUGUCAAUUAUAAAGUCCCUUGUGUUUGUGUUCAAGGAAUGAGACAAAAACGUGUCAGGAACAUCUGUCAACACUGCAGGAAGCCAUUCAGACACAGAAGACAGACAAAAUAAACAUCAAAAAUGCAGAUGAUGAUUAACCAAGUCUCUGAGGACCUGCAUAAAUCAAUCAGAAAGUCAUCACCUUUCUUUGCUCCCAUCGAAGCUGUGGUAAAGGAAACAAAUGAUAAAGCAAGAAAGAAAGAUGAAGCAGAGGGUGCAGCACAAAAAAAUAAUACCCAUUUCUGUGAGUCUGUGUUGGGCAUUCUUUUAGACUAUGCAGGUGCAGUUCCCCUUUGGUCAGGUGUUAUGCUAAAACAUCUUGGCAAAACUAGAGACAGUAAUGCCAUAGUAGAAAAUUGGUUCCGCACAACAAAAAAUGUGGUUCUGACAUCAAAGCUGCACAGAAGAGCAGGAGAUUUUCUGCAGCUCCAGCAACAGUUUGUUGAGGGAAGAAUCAAAGGAAUGUUACUGAAAAAGCAAGUACCACAGACGAAACAGCCUUUAUCAGACAAUGAUGAUGGAGAGGACAUUGAUGGUCCAGACUCUCUUCCCCAUCGCAAGAAGAGAAAUGGAAAAAGCGAAGUACUCGAAAGAGAAAGUCGAAGUAUUUCAACUCUCCUCCUCCAACAAAAAAGCGUCUUGUGGCAAAAUCUGCAAAAUCUGCCAGCCAAAAACAUCCAAAGACAAAGAGUCACAUCAAAGGUGCACCACCCCAACAACCACAAAAAAGACAGGGAUGCUGUCCAUAUUGGGGAGGAGAAGGGUUAAUUGAGAAGCAAACAGUGUCAAUGACAAAUGCAUGUACAGUGGACAACCUCCUGUACAUGCUUCACAUGGCUAUCAAGAGGAGACCAGGGAUUAGCACUGAGCUUAAUGCAAGGUCCAAUAAUUGGAUUUCCACCUUACUGUAAGUCCACAAACUUUUUGAAAAGGAGUGGUCCCAGGGAAAAUUAUUGUGGCUAAACGCCAUUGGCCGAUUUAAAGGGACUUCAUGGGAUGCUUAUGGGACAGAGGAAGACAUGGUUGCAUGUUGUCUCGAGUAUCUCAUGACAACAGAAAUCAUGCAAAAGUGCAAUAAUGCAGCUUGUCCUGUUGUGAGAAGACGAGUCAACAGUAUUGACAUCUUAGGUCCUGCCCCAUGCACUGACAGUGAGCAGACACUGCAGCGUGUCUUCGUGAAUGGACAGCCAUGUGUGUUACUGGUCUCAGUGAUACACCAAGCCAAUCUCAGUGACAAGCUGCAUCCUGCAGCCUUGCCACACCUGGUGACAAUUCUUGGUGGAAAGUACGAGCCAGCUGCAGUGACAUACCACCUGCCACUUUGUGGCAUUCCACAAACUGGGCGCUGACAAAGGCUGGCAUUUUUAUGAUGGCCUUGAGGAAAUGCUCAACCCUGGCAAGGGUGAUGUUGUCAUCACUGACACAUUAAGGAAAAAGAAACAUAAUAAGGCUAAGUGUAAAGUUAGCCACAUUGUCAUGUUCAGGGUAAGUAUGGACAUUAAUUAUGGCAUAACACUGUCUUGACUUCUAAAACUAGUUUUCCUUUGUAUUUCAACAGAUAACAACAAUAUUCAUGUCUUUCGGUUCACAAACAAGAAAUUGAAAUUAAUCACAGUAUUAACUAAACGUG
Molecule: long non-coding RNA, 2661 nt
Organism: Morone saxatilis (striped sea-bass)
Lineage: Eukaryota; Metazoa; Chordata; Actinopteri; Moronidae
Exons: 3
Source: RefSeq, a predicted model, not a curated record